This is a long non-coding RNA of Suricata suricatta (meerkat), 610 nucleotides long. RefSeq lists it as uncharacterized. NCBI's taxonomy places the organism in Eukaryota, Metazoa, Chordata, Mammalia, Carnivora, Herpestidae. The transcript is spliced from 3 exons. The record is from RefSeq and is a predicted model, not a curated record.
UUUACAAAAUCUUUAAAAAAAUAAAAUUAUCUCACCUAACUCUGAUCUAAUUCCAUUAAUCCUCAGAAGAGAGGUGAGGUCCUAUCCUGGAUUGGGAAGGCCCGUGCAAAUGGGCUGCUGGGAUCUGUGCACGUGCAAUGCUGGGUCUCUGUAACCAUCACGUGGUUCCUUCCCGUCACUGAGCACAGCUCACUGCAUGCCGGGCAGCUGUACCGGUGUUCUCUCUAGUGGUCACUACAGUGCGGGAAGUUGAUUUUAUCUACUUCAGUUCAUAGCUGAGAGAAGUGAGGCUUAUGCAAGUUAAGGAGCUAGCCCAAGGGCACAGAGCUAGUUGGUGGAGAGGACUUGCCCCUGUGUGCUCUCACCGAUGAUUUGUCCCUCAGCGCACAGCUCUCCGGGCUCUGGCUCUCGCCAGAGAGCAUCCAGAUAAUUCUUGAAGCCAGCUUUCUUCUGUUUGUACUGACCUUGGGAUUCCGGGAUGUAAACCAUGAUACGUGGUCCUGAAGUUAGACAAAAUGUUGGCUGUCUUGGUAGCACAACACCCUGAAGGCGCUGUUCUUCCAGGAGUGGCAUGUUCCAGUGUGUGUUUCUGAGGAAGAGAGAAAGAGGG